AUAAACUAGCCCUAUUAAUGGAGUAGGAUCCGAGACUCCUUUCGGGGUCAAACAGACUCUCCUAUCAACAGAGUGGAAACUUUCCCCACCACAUUUCCAAGCUUGGGUGCACGGGCCUGUCCCAACCGAAUGGGCGGAUGGUGGAGCAAGGCUAAACAAGAGGGG
RNAcentral lists this ribozyme (165 nucleotides) under Anopheles stephensi (Asian malaria mosquito). RNAcentral describes it as "drz-agam-2-2 ribozyme". It matches the Rfam family "drz-agam-2-2 ribozyme". The record is from Rfam by way of RNAcentral. Lineage: Eukaryota; Metazoa; Arthropoda; Insecta; Diptera; Culicidae.